This is a long non-coding RNA of Aricia agestis (brown argus), 371 nucleotides long. RefSeq lists it as uncharacterized. The record is from RefSeq and is a predicted model, not a curated record. Lineage: Eukaryota; Metazoa; Arthropoda; Insecta; Lepidoptera; Lycaenidae. The transcript is spliced from 3 exons.
UUUUACCCAAGCCUAGCGUUAGCAUUCUUUCUAUUUUGUGCUCGUAGUGUUUGGAUGCAGAAAAGAAAAUACCUGUAAUUUCAUGGUUUCAAGAGGAUAAAAAACGGAAUAUCUAUUCCUAAAAAAUGUAUAGCGUCGUUGAAUUUAGUGAGGAUGACAGCGUCGCUAUUGUGCGCUCGUCUUGGAUUUCACCCACUAAGAAACAUAGUGCUUGGCCUCCAUUUAAAAAUUCCGAAAAGAUCAAGAAAUGUCUUACGGGCACAAUUUUAGAUGAUGACACGUGGAAUGUUUUUGGAAUUCGACGCAUUUUUUAUGUAACUGAUGACCUUCUCAGUGCUAGAAAGAAAUGUAAAGAAGCCGAACUUAAUUCC